AAACUACUUGUUGAUUUGAAAGGCGUUUAUUUCUGCAUUCCGUAUCUUCAUUUUCUUUUCGACUGACAAAUCAGCAGAGAAGUUUACUGAUGGCCACAUACCACAGGAACAAGAAUGGUUUUGAUUUCUGCUGUGCAGCAGCACAGGCUGAUUGUGAGACAGCAGCGUGAUGUAGCCACAAAUAUAUCCGGAGACAUUUCUGGAGGCGUAGCUGAUCUGCUGAUAUUUCUGUUAUUCAUGGCUGAAUUACCUCACCUGCAGUGGAUGGGGUCACGCUGCUGGUGAUACCUGGGUUAGCACUGCACAGAUCCAGCUCACUGUCAGGAUCUGUCUGCCAGGGCCUUGCAUCGCCUGGGCUUGGCUGUGUGGCUGCUGCGUCAGUGUGAAAUCAGUUUCUCAUUGCUAUGUUCCUGACAGAAUAACAGCAGAAAGGUCGCACAUUUCUGAUUUGCUCACAGUCAGGUCUCCAAAUUGCCUGAUGGGCUGUAGAUUGAUUUCUGUACCACAGGUACAUUUGCUCAUUUACAACCACUCUCAGCAUUUUCAAAAAAGAAUGCCUAAAUGGCUAUGGUUUGAUUCAGUCGUGGGCUGAAAUUCAGUUAAUGUCAGCUCUCCUCAAAGCACUGUAAAUAGCUACCAAAAACAUGCAAUGUAACACAUGAGUACAAGGCCAAAGCAAGGGGAGAGGUACAAGGAUUCACCUGGUGACUGAAUGCUGGGAAUAUUAAUUACAUGCCCAUCUCACCUGGUACUGAACUGCGAUUAACACUGGCUGAGCUCCAC
RNAcentral lists this long non-coding RNA (783 nucleotides) under Phasianus colchicus (ring-necked pheasant). RNAcentral describes it as "lncRNA (ENSPCLG00000002425.1)". The record is from RNAcentral. Lineage: Eukaryota; Metazoa; Chordata; Aves; Galliformes; Phasianidae.